GAUGAAGGAACGCAGCGAAAUGCGAUAAGUAAUGUGAAUUGCAGAAUUCAGUGAAUCAUCGAAUCUUUGAACGCACAUUGCGCCCGCUAGUAUUCUGGCGGGCAUGCCUGUCCGAGCGUCAUUUCAACCCUCAAGCCCCCGGGCUUGGUGUUGGGGAUCGGCGAGCCUCCGCGCCCGCCGUCCCCUAAAUCUAGUGGCGGUCUCGCUGUAGCUUCCUCUGCGUAGUAGCACACCUCGCACUGGGAAACAGCGCGGCCACGCCGUUAAACCCCCAACUUCUGAACGUUUGACCUCGGAUCAGGUAGGAAUACCCGCUGAACUUAAGCAUAUCAAUAAGCGGAGGA
RNAcentral lists this unclassified non-coding RNA (344 nucleotides) under soil metagenome. RNAcentral's name for it is "partial contains 5.8S ribosomal RNA, internal transcribed spacer 2, and large subunit ribosomal RNA". The stretch from base 1 to 121 matches the Rfam family "5.8S ribosomal RNA", at positions 35 to 154 of the family's 154-position model. The record is from RNAcentral.